RNAcentral lists this ribosomal RNA (1491 nucleotides) under metagenome. RNAcentral's name for it is "bacterial SSU rRNA". It matches the Rfam family "Bacterial small subunit ribosomal RNA". The record is from RNAcentral.
AGAGUUUGAUCCUGGCUCAGAUUGAACGCUGGCGGCAUGCCUUACACAUGCAAGUCGAACGGCAGCACGAGAGCUUGCUCUUGGUGGCGAGUGGCGAACGGGUGAGUAAUAUAUCGGAACGUACCCUAGAGUGGGGGAUAACGUAGCGAAAGUUACGCUAAUACCGCAUACGAUCUACGGAUGAAAGUGGGGGAUCGCAAGACCUCAUGCUCAUGGAGCGGCCGAUAUCUGAUUAGCUAGUUGGUGGGGUAAAAGCUCACCAAGGCGACGAUCAGUAGCUGGUCUGAGAGGACGACCAGCCACACUGGAACUGAGACACGGUCCAGACUCCUACGGGAGGCAGCAGUGGGGAAUUUUGGACAAUGGGCGCAAGCCUGAUCCAGCAAUGCCGCGUGAGUGAAGAAGGCCUUCGGGUUGUAAAGCUCUUUUGUCAGGGAAGAAACGGUGGACUCUAAUACAGAUCACUAAUGACGGUACCUGAAGAAUAAGCACCGGCUAACUACGUGCCAGCAGCCGCGGUAAUACGUAUGGUGCAAGCGUUAAUCGGAAUUACUGGGCGUAAAGCGUGCGCAGGCGGUUGUGCAAGACAGAUGUGAAAUCCCCGGGCUCAACCUGGGAAUUGCAUUUGUGACUGCACGGCUAGAGUGUGUCAGAGGGGGGUAGAAUUCCACGUGUAGCAGUGAAAUGCGUAGAGAUGUGGAGGAAUACCGAUGGCGAAGGCAGCCCCCUGGGAUAACACUGACGCUCAUGCACGAAAGCGUGGGGAGCAAACAGGAUUAGAUACCCUGGUAGUCCACGCCCUAAACGAUGUCUACUAGUUGUCGGGUCUUAAUUGACUUGGUAACGCAGCUAACGCGUGAAGUAGACCGCCUGGGGAGUACGGUCGCAAGAUUAAAACUCAAAGGAAUUGACGGGGACCCGCACAAGCGGUGGAUGAUGUGGAUUAAUUCGAUGCAACGCGAAAAACCUUACCUACCCUUGACAUGUCUGGAAUCCUUGAGAGAUCAGGGAGUGCUCGAAAGAGAAUCAGAACACAGGUGCUGCAUGGCUGUCGUCAGCUCGUGUCGUGAGAUGUUGGGUUAAGUCCCGCAACGAGCGCAACCCUUGUCAUUAGUUGCUACGAAAGGGCACUCUAAUGAGACUGCCGGUGACAAACCGGAGGAAGGUGGGGAUGACGUCAAGUCCUCAUGGCCCUUAUGGGUAGGGCUUCACACGUCAUACAAUGGUACAUACAGAGGGCCGCCAACCCGCGAGGGGGAGCUAAUCCCAGAAAGUGUAUCGUAGUCCGGAUUGUAGUCUGCAACUCGACUACAUGAAGUUGGAAUCGCUAGUAAUCGCGGAUCAGCAUGUCGCGGUGAAUACGUUCCCGGGUCUUGUACACACCGCCCGUCACACCAUGGGAGCGGGUUUCACCAGAAGUGGGUAGCCUAACCGCAAGGAGGGCGCUCACCACGGUGGGAUUCGUGACUGGGGUGAAGUCGUAACAAGGUA